GAUAAACGCUGGCGGCAUGCCUAACACAUGCAAGUCGAACGGACAGACCAGGAGAUCUCUCCUGUGAGGUUAUGGGCGGACAGGGGAGGAAGGGGUAGAAACGCUACGUCAACGUCUGGUGUAACGUCGAAAAACCGCGACAAAUACCAGCUAAUAUCUCGUAACGAAUUGGUCACUCGUGAAGUACGGUUUUGCUGUCGCUUUUAGGUGGACCCGCGACGCUUUAGCUAGUUGGUAAGGUAAAGGCUUACCAAGGCAACGAUGCGUAGCCGACCUGAGAGGGUGACCGGCCACACUGGAACUGAGACACGGCCCAGACUCCUACGGGAGGCAGCAGUAGGGAAUCUUCCGCAAUGGGCGAAAGCCUGACGGAGCAACGCCGCGUGAGUGAUGAAGGUCUUCGGAUCGUAAAACUCUGUUAUUAGGGAAGAACAAAUGCGUAAGUAAUUAUGCAUGUUUGGACGGUACCUAAUCAGAAAGCCACGGCUAACUACGUG
RNAcentral lists this ribosomal RNA (497 nucleotides) under uncultured bacterium. RNAcentral describes it as "partial 16S ribosomal RNA". It matches the Rfam family "Bacterial small subunit ribosomal RNA", at positions 28 to 507 of the family's 1533-position model. The record is from RNAcentral.